This 485-nucleotide ribosomal RNA is filed under the name uncultured bacterium. Its description in RNAcentral is "partial 16S ribosomal RNA". It matches the Rfam family "Bacterial small subunit ribosomal RNA", at positions 28 to 507 of the family's 1533-position model. The record is from RNAcentral.
AUUGAACGCUGGCGGCAUGCCUUACACAUGCAAGUCGAACGGCAGCGGGCCCUUCGGGGUGCCGGCGAGUGGCGAACGGGUGAGUAAUGCAUCGGAACGUACCCGGGAGAGGGGGAUAACCGGCCGAAAGGCUGGCUAAUACCGCAUGAACUCGGAAGAGCAAAGCGGGGGACCUUCGGGCCUCGCGCUCUCGGAGCGGCCGAUGUCCGAUUAGGCUAGUUGGUGGGGUAAAGGCCCACCAAGGCGACGAUCGGUAGCGGGUCUGAGAGGACGAUCCGCCACACUGGGACUGAGACACGGCCCAGACUCCUACGGGAGGCAGCAGUGGGGAAUCUUGGACAAUGGGCGCAAGCCCGAUCCAGCAAUGCCGCGUGGGUGAAGAAGGCCUUCGGGUUGUAAAGCCCUUUCGGCGGGGAAGAAAUCGGUCAGGCGAAUAGUCUGGCCGGAUGACGGUACCCGCAGAAGAAGCACCGGCUAACUACGUG